Molecule: ribosomal RNA, 468 nt
Filed under: uncultured bacterium
Lineage: Bacteria
Description: partial 16S ribosomal RNA
Rfam family: Bacterial small subunit ribosomal RNA
Source: RNAcentral
GACGAACGCUGGCGGCGUGCUUAACACAUGCAAGUCGAACGGCAAGGCACUGCUUUUUUGCGGUUCUCGAGUGGCGAACGGGUGAGUAACACGUGAGUAACCUGCCCUUGACUUUGGGAUAACUUCAGGAAACUGGGGCUAAUACCGGAUAGGAGCUCCUGCUGCAUGGUGGGGAUUGGAAAGUUUCGGCUGUAGGGGAUGGACUCGCGGCUUAUCAGCUUGUUGGUGGGGUAGUGGCUUACCAAGGCUGUGACGGGUAGCCGGCAUGAGAGGGUGACCGGCGACAUUGGGACUGAGAUAGGGCGCAGACGCCUACGGGAGGCAGAAGUGGGGAAUAUUGUACAAUGGGCGGAAGCCUGAUGAAGCAACGCCGGGUGCGUGAUGACGGCCUUUGGGUUGUAAACAGCUUUAGGCUGUGACGAAGCGUGAGUGACGGUAAUGGGUAAAGAAGCACCGGCUAACUACGUG